Molecule: ribosomal RNA, 480 nt
Filed under: uncultured bacterium
Lineage: Bacteria
Description: partial 16S ribosomal RNA
Rfam family: Bacterial small subunit ribosomal RNA
Source: RNAcentral
AUUGAACGCUGGCGGCAGGCUUAACACAUGCAAGUCGAACGAUGAGUCUCUAGCUUGCUAGAGAUGAUUAGUGGCGGACGGGUGAGUAACAUUUAGGAAUCUACCUAGUAGUGGGGGAUAGCUCGGUGAAACUCGAAUUAAUACCGCAUACGACCUACGGGUGAAAGGGGGCGCAAGCUCUUGCUAUUAGAUGAGCCUAAAUCAGAUUAGCUAGUUGGUGGGGUAAAGGCCCACCAAGGCGACGAUCUGUAACUGGUCUGAGAGGAUGAUCAGUCACACCGGAACUGAGACACGGUCCGGACUCCUACGGGAGGCAGCAGUGGGGAAUAUUGGACAAUGGGGGCAACCCUGAUCCAGCCAUGCCGCGUGUGUGAAGAAGGCCUUUUGGUUGUAAAGCACUUUAAGCAGGGAGGAGAGGCUAAUGGUUAAUACCCAUUAGAUUAGACGUUACCUGCAGAAUAAGCACCGGCUAACUCUGUG